UAUUAAAAAAUUCAUCCAAUUCUAUUAUUAAAAACUGGCAUCGAUGGUGGAAUAAACAAAUAGUUGCACAUGGCGUGCCACGUCAACCUCAUGCUAAUAUAUAGAGACUAGUAUUUAACAGUAGAAAUGGAUGAGAUUUUUAAUA
This is a non-coding RNA of Gossypium raimondii (Peruvian cotton), 145 nucleotides long. The record is from Rfam. NCBI's taxonomy places the organism in Eukaryota, Viridiplantae, Streptophyta, Magnoliopsida, Malvales, Malvaceae.